UCCACGAGUGGUGAAUCCAGGUUGAACCUUCAGCUAUGAAACUCCUUUACCUUCUGGUUGCAUUUCUUACAUUGCUGGUGCUGAUUGAGCCAGGAUAUUCUCAAAACAUACGAAAUGCAGAGCAAUGUAGAGCUGCAGGUGGAGAGUGCAGAAAGGGGAAAUGUCCUGGUGGUUACAAACGCAUUGGGAGAUGUGACAGAAAGGUUCCUUGCUGCAAAAGAAAAUGAAUUGGUGAGUGACAGCAUGACCGUAUCAUAGCAGCAGAUUCAAAAUUAAUUGUCGUUUGCUUCUUGGCUACUCUGAUGGGAAAUGGAUUUGAAAUUUUAAGUAUGUUUCAAUAAAGACAA
This is a long non-coding RNA of Eublepharis macularius, 347 nucleotides long. RefSeq lists it as uncharacterized. Lineage: Eukaryota; Metazoa; Chordata; Lepidosauria; Squamata; Eublepharidae. The transcript has 3 exons. The record is from RefSeq and is a predicted model, not a curated record.